UUGCGAGCACCCACGUUUCAGAG
This 23-nucleotide unclassified non-coding RNA is filed under the name Mus musculus (house mouse). RNAcentral's name for it is "oocyte_clustered_small_RNA6626". The record is from RNAcentral. Lineage: Eukaryota; Metazoa; Chordata; Mammalia; Rodentia; Muridae.